GGCAGCAGCCAUAUCAUCCCUGCAGCUCUCAACUGGUUACCCACUGCAGCUAAGCAGGGUUGAGCCUGGUCAGUACCUGGAUGGGAGACCUCCUGGGAAGCUAUGGUUGCUGCUGGAA
Lepisosteus oculatus (spotted gar) is the source of this 118-nucleotide ribosomal RNA. Lineage: Eukaryota; Metazoa; Chordata; Actinopteri; Semionotiformes; Lepisosteidae. The record is from Ensembl.